Molecule: ribosomal RNA, 503 nt
Filed under: uncultured bacterium
Lineage: Bacteria
Description: partial 16S ribosomal RNA
Rfam family: Bacterial small subunit ribosomal RNA
Source: RNAcentral
GAUGAACGCUAGCGACAGGCUUAACACAUGCAAGUCGAGGGGCAGCGGGGUGUAGCAAUACACUGCCGGCGACCGGCGCACGGGUGCGUAACGCGUAUGCAACCUGCCUACCAGCCAGGGAUAGCCCGGCGAAAGUCGGAUUAAUACCUGAUGAAACAGGGGCCCCGCAUGGGGAUAUGUGUUAAAGAUUUAUUACUGGUAGAUGGGCAUGCGUUCCAUUAGGUAGUUGGCGGGGUAACGGUCCACCAAGCCAUCGAUGGAUAGGGGUUCUGGGAGGAAGGUCCCCCACACUGGUACUGAGACACGGACCAGACUCCUACGGGAGGCAGCAGUGAGGAAUAUUGGUCAAUGGCCGGGAGGCUGAACCAGCCAAGUCGCGUGGAGGAAGACGGCCCUACAGGUUGUAAACUUCUUUUAUAGGGGAAUAAAGUGCCCGACGUGUCGGGUUUUGUAUGUACCUUAUGAAUAAGCAUCGGCUAACUCCGUGCCAGCAGCCGCCGUAA